AUUGAACGCUGGCGGCAUGCCUUACACAUGCAAGUCGAACGGUAACGGGCCUUCGGGUGCCGACGAGUGGCGAACGGGUGAGUAAUACAUCGGAACGUGCCCGAUCGUGGGGGAUAACGAGGCGAAAGCUUUGCUAAUACCGCAUACGAUCUACGGAUGAAAGCAGGGGACCGCAAGGCCUUGCGCGGACGGAGCGGCCGAUGGCAGAUUAGGUAGUUGGUGGAUAAAAGCUUACCAAGCCGACGAUCUGUAGCUGGUCUGAGAGGAUGAUCAGCCACACUGGGACUGAGACACGGCCCAGACUCCUACGGGAGGCAGCAGUGGGGAAUUUUGGACAAUGGGCGCAAGCCUGAUCCAGCCAUGCCGCGUGCAGGAUGAAGGCCUUCGGGUUGUAAACUGCUUUUGUACGGAACGAAAAGCCUUCUUUUAAUACAGGAGGGUCAUGACGGUACCGUAAGAAUAAGCACCGGCUAACUACGUG
This 481-nucleotide ribosomal RNA is filed under the name uncultured bacterium. RNAcentral's name for it is "partial 16S ribosomal RNA". It matches the Rfam family "Bacterial small subunit ribosomal RNA", at positions 30 to 507 of the family's 1533-position model. The record is from RNAcentral.